UACGUAAGGACCGAGCGUUGUCCGGAAUCAUUGGGCGUAAAGGGUACGUAGGCGGUUAGAAAAGUUAGAAGUGAAAGGCUAUAGCUCAACUAUAGUAAGCUUUUAAAACUGUUUAACUUGAGAGAUGGAAGGGAAAGUGGAAUUCCUAGUGUAGCGGUGAAAUGCGCAGAUAUUAGGAGGAAUACCGGUGGCGAAGGCGACUUUCUGGCCAUUAUCUGACGCUGAGGUACGAAAGCGUGGGUAGCAAACAGG
Molecule: ribosomal RNA, 252 nt
Filed under: uncultured bacterium
Lineage: Bacteria
Also listed under: 1 other name
Description: partial 16S ribosomal RNA
Rfam family: Bacterial small subunit ribosomal RNA
Source: RNAcentral